Ciona savignyi (Pacific transparent sea squirt) is the source of this 119-nucleotide non-coding RNA. Lineage: Eukaryota; Metazoa; Chordata; Ascidiacea; Phlebobranchia; Cionidae. The record is from Rfam.
GCUCAUCACCAUUCCAGAUUGAAUACACCCGAUCUCGUCUGAUCUCGGAAGCCAAGCAAUCUCGGGCUUGGUUAGUACUUGGAUGGGUGACCGCUUGGGAAUACCAAGUGUGAUAAGCA